AUGGAUCUUGGUGAAACCGUAGGAAAAUUUUUGUUUUCUGCAACGUUCCCCAACAUCUUCGUCACGUGCGACCCUGCUAAUGUCCGGCACAUCUUCACGACCAACUACACCAACUUCCCCAAGGGUGUUGAGUUCGCUGCCAUUUUCGACGCCAUGGGUGGCAGCCUCUUCACUGUCGAUGGCGAAGACGCUGCAACCCAGCGUGGCAAAUUGAAGAGCGUGCUUAGCAACCCACAGAUGAUUGCCAGUAUGGAGGCUUGCUGCCGCUACAAGGUGGAGAACAUCCUCCUUCCAUUGCUCGCCUACAUGGCGAGCACCGACGCUCCUUUUGACAUGCAAGAACUGAUGUCGAGGUUUAUGUUUGACCUGGCUACUAUGUUUCUCUUUGGUGUGGAUCCUGGCCUCCUAUCAUUAGACAAACCACCCAUGGACGUCGUGGUUGCUCUGGACACAGUCAUGGAGGUAGGAUUUUUCCGGCACGCCAUGCCAACCUCUUGCUGGAAAUUAAUGAGGUAG
RNAcentral lists this ribosomal RNA (516 nucleotides) under Triticum aestivum (bread wheat). Its description in RNAcentral is "partial small subunit ribosomal RNA". Lineage: Eukaryota; Viridiplantae; Streptophyta; Magnoliopsida; Poales; Poaceae. The record is from RNAcentral.